GCUGGCGUAGCUCAGGCGGCAGAGCACGGCUUUGGUAAAGCCGAGGUCCGGGGUUCAAGUCCCCGCGCCAGCUCCG
This 76-nucleotide transfer RNA is filed under the name Actinomycetes bacterium. RNAcentral describes it as "Actinobacteria bacterium tRNA-Thr". It matches the Rfam family "tRNA". From Rfam's summary of the family: Transfer RNA (tRNA) molecules are approximately 80 nucleotides in length. Their secondary structure includes four short double-helical elements and three loops (D, anti-codon, and T loops). Lineage: Bacteria; Bacillati; Actinomycetota; Actinomycetes. The record is from RNAcentral.